RNAcentral lists this ribosomal RNA (327 nucleotides) under uncultured soil bacterium. RNAcentral's name for it is "bacterial SSU rRNA". It matches the Rfam family "Bacterial small subunit ribosomal RNA", at positions 26 to 346 of the family's 1533-position model. The record is from RNAcentral.
AGAACGAACGCUGGCGGCGGGCCUCAUACAUGCAAGUCGAGCGCGAAAGUCCGCAAGGAUGAGUAAAGCGGCGCACGGGUGAGUAACACGUGGGUAAUCUACCUUUUGGAUUGGAAUAACCUGUCGAAAGACGGGCUAAUGCCGAGUAAGCUUUCUUGAACAUAAAGUUCGAGCAAGGAAAGAUGGCGCAAGCUAUCGCCGAUAGAUGAGCCUGCGUCCCAUUAGUUAGUUGGUGGGGUAAUGGCUUACCAAGACAAUGAUGGGUACCUGGUUUGAGAGAAUGAUCAGGCACACUGGAACUGAAACACGGUCCAGACUCCUACGGGA